Molecule: ribosomal RNA, 445 nt
Filed under: uncultured bacterium
Lineage: Bacteria
Description: partial 16S ribosomal RNA
Rfam family: Bacterial small subunit ribosomal RNA
Source: RNAcentral
GUGAGGAAUAUUGGUCAAUGGGCGGGAGCCUGAACCAGCCAAGUCGCGUGAAGGAAGAAGGAUCUAUGGUUCGUAAACUUCUUUUGCAGGGGAAUAAAGUGCAGGACGUGUCCUGUUUUGUAUGUACCCUGAGAAUAAGGAUCGGCUAACUCCGUGCCAGCAGCCGCGGUAAUACGGAGGAUCCGAGCGUUAUCCGGAUUUAUUGGGUUUAAAGGGUGCGCAGGCGGGUUGAUAAGUCAGCGGUGAAAGUUUGCAGCUUAACUGUAAAAUUGCCGUUGAAACUGUCGAUCUUGAGUGCAAAUGUGGUAAGCGGAAUGUGUUGUGUAGCGGUGAAAUGCUUAGAUAUAACACAGAACACCGAUUGCGAAGGCAGCUUACUGGGAUGCAACUGACGCUCAUGCACGAAAGCGUGGGGAUCAAACAGGAUUAGAUACCCGUGUAGUCC